ACCCCAAGACUUUUCAUUUCAAAAUCAUCUCUUUCUCUCUCAAGACCUUCCAUCUACCCCAAACCCACUGGAGAAGAAAGACAAGCUGGAGAAGAAAGACACGCCGGAGAAGAAAGAAGGUGCGGUGGUGAAUCGAAAACGCCGGAAAGAAAGAAGGUGCACCGAAGAAAAAAGAAGGUGCGGCGAUGAAUCGAAAUCACCGGGAAAGAAAGUGCGGCAGUGAAUCGAAACCGUAAACCCACCAGAGAAGAAUAUAUAUGAGAUCAACGUUUCAGCUGUUAUCGUUCGGUAAAAGUCACCGGAAAUGGAAGAAAGCAAGAACAUGCGGAAGCAAAUAAAAACUCAAAAUUUGGGGAGACUUCAAGUUCAGGGCAUAAUUGGGUAGAAAGUAGCUAGUCUUAGUUAUGUUACUACUAUUUUUUUAAUUAGUAGAUUAAAAAUGUUGGACUGUAACUUGUGUUAUUACGACUUGACCAUAGCAGUUGCAUCCAAACGAGAAGGGAUCUUGGCAGGAAGGAAGAGAACCACAAUAUCGGAUACGACAAAAGGUGGCCAUAAAGCGAAAGAAGGUAGAUGGAGAAACCGAUGAAGAAUGGGAACAAGAAGUCGAUGAAGGGCAUGUGGUGGGUACCUUUGACGUUGUACAAAAGUUACCCUCUAGUGUAACACAUGUUACAAACAUGUGUUACAUAUGUUCAACCCCUUUGUUACCAAAAAUCGGGGCUGCACAUAUGUAAGACAUGUUUGUAACUAAUGUUACACUAUAGGGUAACACAUGUAUGAUCAGUUUUCGAUCAUUUGUAUAUAUUUUAAGCCUGUAUAAACCUACAACAUCGAUACCCCAAAAAAGGUUACACAUGUUACGACAGAAUUGGAAAUGUGUAGCAGCGUUCAAUACUGUUGUUUCACUCUAUAGUGUGUAACAUGUGUGACAUGGCGUUUGUCAGCAAAACAUAUAACUUGUAAGGUGAUAUGGUUGUAUCUUUAAAA
Helianthus annuus (common sunflower) is the source of this 990-nucleotide long non-coding RNA. RefSeq lists it as uncharacterized. Lineage: Eukaryota; Viridiplantae; Streptophyta; Magnoliopsida; Asterales; Asteraceae. The record is from RefSeq and is a predicted model, not a curated record. The transcript is spliced from 2 exons.